Molecule: ribosomal RNA, 681 nt
Filed under: Aonidiella citrina
Lineage: Eukaryota; Metazoa; Arthropoda; Insecta; Hemiptera; Diaspididae
Description: partial large subunit ribosomal RNA
Rfam family: Eukaryotic large subunit ribosomal RNA
Source: RNAcentral
GGUAGCUGGUUCCUUCCGAGUAGUACGUGAAACCGUUCAGGUAGCUGGUUCCUUCCGAAUAGUACGUGAAACCGUUCAGGUAGCUGGUUCCUUCCGAGUAGUACGUGAGCUCGUUGUGUGCGUGUUUCGGCGCGUCACACGGCGAAGGCGCGGAUUUCUGGCUGGCCGUCGGACAGUAUGCUUAACGGUGUCCGGUGUCGUCGUCUGCGCGGCAUCGGUACCGGUCAGCGACGAAUUCUUCGGGCCUCUUUCCGACCCGUCUUGAAACACGGACCAAGGAGUCUAACAUGCGCGCGAGUCGCGGGGUAUCGAGCGUACUUCGGUGCGUUCGUUAUGUUGCGAAACCCGUACAUGUCAAAGGCGUAAUGAAAGUGAAUGGGGAAGAUGGUGUUCCGAGUACACGUUCCGCGAUCGUCGGUAUCGCGGCCGGGCACCCGCAUUCCCAGGGCGUCUCAACGGCCCGUCGCUGAUGCGGACAGUCGUCUUUCGGGGCGGCUGUCGGUCGGCGACGAACCGAGGCGCACCUAUAGCGUGCACGUUGGUACCCGAAAGAUGGUGAACUAUGCCUGGCCAGGAUGAAGUCAGGGGAAACCCUGAUGGAGGUCCGCAGCGAUUCUGACGUGCAAAUCGAUCGUCUGAGCUGGGUAUAGGGGCGAAAGACUAAUCGAACCAUCUAGUAGC